This is a small nuclear RNA of Ursus americanus (American black bear), 100 nucleotides long. The record is from Ensembl. Lineage: Eukaryota; Metazoa; Chordata; Mammalia; Carnivora; Ursidae.
GCGCUCACUUUGGCAGCACCGACACUAAAACUGAACGCAGAAGUUAGCAUGGCCCCUGCACAAGGAUGGGAGGCAAACUUGUGAAGCAUUCUGUAUUUUU